UAAAGCGUGCGCAGGCGGUUUGUAAGUCUGAUGUGAAAUACCCCGGGCUCAACCUGGGAAUUGCAUUGGAGACUGCAAGGCUAGAAUCUGGCAGAGGGGGUAGAAUUCCACGUGUAGCAGUGAAAUGCGUAGAUAUGUGGAGGAACACCGAUGGCGAAGGCAGCCCCCUGGGUCAAGAUUGACGCUCAUGCACGAAAGCGUGGGGAGCAAACAGGAUUAGAUACCCUAGU
This 230-nucleotide ribosomal RNA is filed under the name uncultured bacterium. RNAcentral describes it as "partial 16S ribosomal RNA". It matches the Rfam family "Bacterial small subunit ribosomal RNA", at positions 561 to 791 of the family's 1533-position model. The record is from RNAcentral.